UGCGCAGGCGGACUUUUAAGUCAGUGGUGAAAUCCCGAGGCUCAACCUCGGAACUGCCAUUGAUACUGGGAGUCUUGAAUUUGGUUGAAGUGGGCGGAAUGUAGCAUGUAGCGGUGAAAUGCUUAGAUAUGCUACAGAACACCGAUCGCGAAGGCAGCUCACUAAGCCAAUAUUGACGCUCAGGCACGAAAGCGUGGGGAGCAAACAGGAUUAGAUACCCUGGUAGUCC
This 229-nucleotide ribosomal RNA is filed under the name uncultured bacterium. RNAcentral's name for it is "partial 16S ribosomal RNA". It matches the Rfam family "Bacterial small subunit ribosomal RNA", at positions 568 to 796 of the family's 1533-position model. The record is from RNAcentral.